UUGCAUAUCAAUAAGCGGAGGAAAAGAAACCAACAGGGAUUGCCCCAGUAACGGCGAGUGAAGCGGCAACAGCUCAAAUUUGAAAUCUGGCCCCUAGGGCCCGAGUUGUAAUUUGCAGAGGAUGCUUUUGGCGAGGUGCCUUCCGAGUUCCCUGGAACGGGACGCCAUAGAGGGUGAGAGCCCCGUCUGGUUGGAUGCCGAGCCUCUGUAAAGCUCCUUCGACGAGUCGAGUAGUUUGGGAAUGCUGCUCUAAAUGGGAGGUAUAUGUCUUCUAAAGCUAAAUACCGGCCAGAGACCGAUAGCGCACAAGUAGAGUGAUCGAAAGAUGAAAAGCACUUUGAAAAGAGGGUUAAAUAGUACGUGAAAUUGUUGAAAGGGAAGCACUUAUGACCAGACUUGGACCCGGUGAAUCAUCCAGCGUUCUCGCUGGUGCACUUUGCCGGGCUCAGGCCAGCAUCAGUUUGCCCCGGGGGAUAAAGGCUUUGGGAAUGUGGCUCCCUCGGGAGUGUUAUAGCCCACUGCACAAUACCCUGGGGCGGACUGAGGUUCGCGCAUCUGCAAGGAUGCUGGCGUAAUGGUCAUCAGUGACCCGUCUUGAAACACGGACC
RNAcentral lists this ribosomal RNA (608 nucleotides) under Pochonia boninensis. RNAcentral's name for it is "eukaryotic LSU rRNA". It matches the Rfam family "Eukaryotic large subunit ribosomal RNA", at positions 36 to 667 of the family's 3401-position model. Lineage: Eukaryota; Fungi; Ascomycota; Sordariomycetes; Hypocreales; Clavicipitaceae. The record is from RNAcentral.